GACGAACGCUGGCGGCGUGCUUAACACAUGCAAGUCGAACGAAGAGCGAUGGAAGCUUGCUUCUAUCAAUCUUAGUGGCGAACGGGUGAGUAACGCGUAAUCAACCUGCCCUUCAGAGGGGGACAACAGUUGGAAACGACUGCUAAUACCGCAUACGAUCUAAUCUCGGCAUCGAGGAUAGAUGAAAGGUGGCCUCUACAUGUAAGCUAUCACUGAAGGAGGGGAUUGCGUCUGAUUCGCUAGUUGGAGGGGUAACGGCCCACCAAGGCGAUGAUCAGUAGCCGGUCUGAUAGGAAGAACGGCCACAUUGGGACUGAGACACGGCCCAGACCCCUACGGGAGGCAGAAGUAGCGGAACGUCCGCCAUGGACGAGAGUCUGACGGAGCAACGCCGCGUCAGUGAUGAGGGACUUCGGGUUGUAAAGCUCUGUUAAUCGGGACGAAAGGACUUCUUGCGGAAAGUGAGAAGGAUUGACGGUACCGGAAGAGAAAGCCACGGCUAACUACGUG
This 510-nucleotide ribosomal RNA is filed under the name uncultured bacterium. RNAcentral describes it as "partial 16S ribosomal RNA". It matches the Rfam family "Bacterial small subunit ribosomal RNA", at positions 28 to 507 of the family's 1533-position model. The record is from RNAcentral.